Molecule: long non-coding RNA, 1303 nt
Filed under: Cyanistes caeruleus (blue tit)
Lineage: Eukaryota; Metazoa; Chordata; Aves; Passeriformes; Paridae
Description: lncRNA (ENSCCEG00000016638.1)
Source: RNAcentral
AUGACUUGUCUGUCCUCACAAAAUGGAUUUCUGACUGUCACACUUCUCCGUGACACUGUGGAAAUAAAGCUAGAUAGAUGGAAUGUAUUUUCCUCUCAAAAGAGACAGGCCUUUGAUUCCUGUGUGAAGACAGGCUUUCCUUGCACUGCUUCUUCCAAACAACCAAGCCUAAUCAAGUGGACUUUAGUUUCUUCAUCAAGAUGCAAGGAUUGUUUUGAUGCCUGUUCCACAGAUCUUCCCAAAGCAUUUCCUAUGGGUGAUGCUGCUAGCACUCCUUGCACUGUACCUUUGUACACACACUGACAACACGGAUGUAACCCUGCAGCUACUUGCCAGGUAGCAUAGUAUAAUCUUAAUUUUACUGAUAAGAGUGAUUUAUCUGAGGUCACAGUGGAAAAAAAUUAUCAUCUUGAUCUCAUCAUGAUUCUCAGUGGAGUUCCCUCUGUCUGACAGCAUAAAUCAAAGGGAAAAAAAUUAAAUCAGUAGAAAACUGGUGUAGCUUUUCAUCUGUUAUCCCUGCAUUCCUUGUGCCUUUUAAGCUUGUUUGAUUGCUUUUCAGGGAGGUGGCUUUUAAAUUUAAUUAGCAUGCUACUACUCACUCCUCCAUCUGACAUGGAAAAGCUGGAAUUAAUUGCAUAUUGACUAACUGAACCACUUACAGCAAGGCAUUGCAUUCAUCCAGUGCUGUGCCCACUGGUGUAUGCAAGAACUUGGGGCUCACUGGGCUGCUGCUUGCAGGCUGUGACCUGUAGUACUUGCAGGCACUACACCCAGAGGAGCUGCCACCUCCAGCAGCAAUCAUGAGACCUGAAAGCAAAGACAGCCCUCUUGCUUGUGUUGCAGAGCAAAGUUGCCUCAAAGUUGCCUCUAAGUGCUGCCUCUGCCACCAGCACUUGCUGGGUACCACACACACAUUUUGUUUAUACGUGUAUGUGUGAAUUUAUCAAUGUAUUGUAUGCAUUUAUAGGUGUGUAAAUACAUUUAUCUGUACCAAGUCUGGCUGGGAUGGAGUUAGCUUGCUUAUCAGCAUUCCCUGUGGUGCUGUGCUUUGGAUUUGUGGUGUGUUGUUAACACACAGGUGUUUUGGCUGUGUGCUUGCUUAGCAUGAAGGUUUUUUUCCUCCCACUCUGCCCCCCUCCAGCAGACCAUUCAUAGAACGGUUUGGGUUGGAAGGGCUCUUAAAGAUCACCUAGUUCUGAUCCUCACUGCCAUGGUGAGUAUAUGUAUUGUAUGUAUGAGUAUAUAUGGGUCUAGAAGAGUGCCAUAAAAAUAAUUUGGGGUCUGGAACAUCUCUCUCAGAGGA